UCAACGCCGGAAAACUCACCGGAGGCGACCUGUGUAUGAGAGUCAACCUGAUGAAUUUACUCGAUAGCAGGAGAGGUGGUGCAUGGCCGUCGUCAGCUCGUACCGUAGGGCGUUCACUUAAGUGUGAUAACGAGCGAGACCCCCAUCUUCAAUUGCUAAGCUAACCGUGAGGUUGGUAGAACUUUGAAGGGACCGCCAGUGCAGAACUGGAGGAAGGAGGGGUCGACGGCAGGUCAGUACGCCCCGAAUCUUCCGGGCAACACGCGCGCUACAAAGGACAGGACAAUGGGCUGCGACCUCGAAAGGGGAAGCCAAUCCCGAAACCUGUUCGUAGUUAGGAUUGAGGGCUGUAACUCGCCCUCAUGAAUCUGGAUUCCGUAGUAAUCGCGGGUCAACAUCCCGCGGUGAAUAUGCCCCUGCUCCUUGCACACACCGCCUGUCAAACCAUCCGAGCUGGUGUUGGAUGAGGGUUAGUUCGAAAGGGUUGAUUCGAAUCUGAUGUCAGUGAGGAGGGUUAAGUCAUAACAAGGUAUCCGUAGGGGAACCUGCGGAUG
Molecule: ribosomal RNA, 554 nt
Filed under: Thermoplasmatales archaeon UBA516
Lineage: Archaea; Methanobacteriati; Thermoplasmatota; Thermoplasmata; Thermoplasmatales
Description: bacterial SSU rRNA
Rfam family: Archaeal small subunit ribosomal RNA
Source: RNAcentral